GUCAGCUUGCCUCUGAUUAUUCAAACAGGCUACUGCUAUUAAGGAUUGCACAACUUCUGGGCAAGGCAGAGUUCUAUUUUAUAACGCACUAGAGGAGACAGAGACGUCAUUGCUUCACCCAGGGCAAGAGGACAAAGGAGGAUGCAUGGAAAUACAAACAGCCCUUCUCCUCCAGGCCAUACCGACUGUCCAGCUAGCAAGAGACUUCACCUGGUUUUGGAGCAAUCUGAAUUUGGAAUAUGCCAGAGAAAACUUCUAUCAGGCACGAUGGUAAGAGUCCAGUGGAUGGAAAAGGGCUCCUCCUUAAAGAUGGUGAUGGAAACGAGCACUGCACAGGGAAACACAAAUCAGGUCCCCUGAAAUCCAGCCCAACCUGGCUAGACCCUCCAGUGCCCAUCAGGGCUUAAGAACAGGUUGCUUCCGUGUCUUUGUUAGGGGGUGGUUAAAAAGGAGUAUGUGCUUAUAGAGUAUGCUGCUGAGCUCCAUGAUUUUGACUUCAUGUCUAACCUGUUGAUGCUACAAAACUCUUUCAAAAACAGUUACCAUGGGAACUUUUCCCUAGCAAGCAUUCUUCAAGAAACGUUACAGGUGCUGGUGAAUUCAAUGCCCUUGGUGUCAAUAAGCUUUUGCUGAGUCUUAGAAUGUGUGGCUUGAACUGAGAGGACUUUCAAACAGAUAAUGCAAAGUUUCCAAUGCAAAUGUCUUCGGGGUUAAGUGUCAGUGAAACGCAGUGGAAGGUAGGGGGGAUAAAAUGAUCUCAGUGUAUAUGGAGGCCCCACUUAAGCAUUCAAAAAACUCUAUAUACAGUGUUUUCAAUGUAUUAUGUAUCAGCAAAACAAAAUACCCCAUAGUGCUAUAAUCAGCUCAGGGGGUCACCUCA
Long non-coding RNA from Pan troglodytes (chimpanzee), 880 nucleotides. RefSeq lists it as uncharacterized. The record is from RefSeq and is a predicted model, not a curated record. NCBI's taxonomy places the organism in Eukaryota, Metazoa, Chordata, Mammalia, Primates, Hominidae. The transcript is spliced from 3 exons.